GGAGGAUGCGAGCGUUAUCCGGAUUUAUUGGGUUUAAAGGGUGCGUAGGCGGCACGCCAAGUCAGCGGUGAAAUUUCCGGGCUCAACCCGGACUGUGCCGUUGAAACUGGCGAGCUAGAGUGCACAAGAGGCAGGCGGAAUGCGUGGUGUAGCGGUGAAAUGCAUAGAUAUCACGCAGAACCCCGAUUGCGAAGGCAGCCUGCUAGGGUGCGACAGACGCUGAGGCACGAAAGCGUGGGUAUCGAACAGGAUUAGAUACCCUGGUAGUCCACGCAGUAAACGAUGAAUACUAACUGUUUGCGAUACAAUGUAAGCGGUACAGCGAAAGCGUUAAGUAUUCCACCUGGGGAGU
RNAcentral lists this ribosomal RNA (352 nucleotides) under uncultured bacterium. RNAcentral's name for it is "bacterial SSU rRNA". It matches the Rfam family "Bacterial small subunit ribosomal RNA", at positions 527 to 881 of the family's 1533-position model. The record is from RNAcentral.